RNAcentral lists this ribosomal RNA (253 nucleotides) under uncultured bacterium. Its description in RNAcentral is "partial 16S ribosomal RNA". It matches the Rfam family "Bacterial small subunit ribosomal RNA", at positions 524 to 776 of the family's 1533-position model. The record is from RNAcentral.
CACGUAGGGGGCAAGCGUUGUCCGGAUUUAUUGGGCGUAAAGGGCUCGUAGGCGGUUUGUCGCGUCGGGAGUGAAAACACCGGGCUUAACUCGGUGCUUGCUUUCGAUACGGGCAGACUAGAGGCGUGCAGGGGAGAACGGAAUUCCUGGUGUAGCGGUGAAAUGCGCAGAUAUCAGGAGGAACACCGGUGGCGAAGGCGGUUCUCUGGGCAUGUCCUGACGCUGAGGAGCGAAAGUGUGGGGAGCGAACAGG